RNAcentral lists this ribosomal RNA (501 nucleotides) under uncultured bacterium. RNAcentral's name for it is "bacterial SSU rRNA". It matches the Rfam family "Bacterial small subunit ribosomal RNA", at positions 8 to 526 of the family's 1533-position model. The record is from RNAcentral.
AGAGUUUGAUCCUGGCUCAGGAUGAACGCUAGUAGUAUGCUUAACACAUGCAAGUCGAACGAUGAACCACUUCGGUGGGGAUUAGUGGCGAACGGGUGAGUAACACGUGGGCAAUCUGCCCUUCACUCUGGGACAAGCCCUGGAAACGGGGUCUAAUACCGGAUACCACCAUCGCAGGCAUCUGUGGUGGUUGAAAGCUCCGGCGGUGAAGGAUGAGCCCGCGGCCUAUCAGCUUGUUGGUGAGGUAAUGGCUCACCAAGGCGACGACGGGUAGCCGGCCUGAGAGGGCGACCGGCCACACUGGGACUGAGACACGGCCCAGACUCCUACGGGAGGCAGCAGUGGGGAAUAUUGCACAAUGGGCGAAAGCCUGAUGCAGCGACGCCGCGUGAGGGAUGACGGCCUUCGGGUUGUAAACCUCUUUCAGCAGGGAAGAAGCGAAAGUGACGGUACCUGCAGAAGAAGCGCCGGCUAACUACGUGCCAGCCGCCGCGGUAAUAC